This 95-nucleotide transfer RNA is filed under the name Caballeronia humi. Its description in RNAcentral is "tRNA-Met". The record is from RNAcentral. Lineage: Bacteria; Pseudomonadati; Pseudomonadota; Betaproteobacteria; Burkholderiales; Burkholderiaceae.
CGAGUGUGGCCGUCGAGGCGCACGGCGGCACGUUCAUCGUGCGCGGCGGCCAGAGCGAAACGCUCGAAGGCGCGUUCAAUUCGCGCACGGUCGUC